RNAcentral lists this ribosomal RNA (460 nucleotides) under uncultured bacterium. RNAcentral describes it as "bacterial SSU rRNA". It matches the Rfam family "Bacterial small subunit ribosomal RNA", at positions 339 to 791 of the family's 1533-position model. The record is from RNAcentral.
GUACGGGAGGCAGCAGUGGGGAAUAUUGGACAAUGGGCGCAAGCCUGAUCCAGCAAUGCCGCGUGUGUGAAGAAGGCCUGCGGGUUGUAAAGCACUUUAAGCCGGAAAGAAGGGCGGAAGGUUAAUACCCUUCUGCAUUGACGUUACCGGCAGAAUAAGCACCGGCUAACUCCGUGCCAGCAGCCGCGGUAAUACGGAGGGUGCGAGCGUUAAUCGGAAUUACUGGGCGUAAAGCGCGCGUAGGCGGUUCGUUAAGUCCGCUGUGAAAGCCCCGGGCUUAACCUGGGAAUGGCAGUGGAUACUGGCGGGCUAGAGUGUGGUAGAGGGGUGUGGAAUUUCCGGUGUAGCAGUGAAAUGCGUAGAGAUCGGAAGGAACACCAGUGGCGAAGGCGGCACCCUGGACCAACACUGACGCUGAGGUGCGAAAGCGUGGGGAGCAAACAGGAUUAGAUACCCCGGU